Long non-coding RNA from Hemibagrus wyckioides, 1607 nucleotides. RefSeq lists it as uncharacterized. The record is from RefSeq and is a predicted model, not a curated record. NCBI's taxonomy places the organism in Eukaryota, Metazoa, Chordata, Actinopteri, Siluriformes, Bagridae. The transcript has 3 exons.
UGACUUUGAUAGAGAAAAAAAGAUUGCUUUCUUUUGAGCUAUGAUAAAUAUUCUUCAAACUCUGUUUUUAAUUUUUUAUCACAUUUAGGAAUACGUUUGCUUCACCAGUCUGAAUAAAAAGAAUGCAUUUGAUAAGUCCAACAAUAGAUGACGCAAUUUAGUAACACUUACUAAAUACUAGAAUACUAGAGUACUAGAAUUUUAAAAAGUCAUUCGAGGCACAAGCUUCGACCGAUAUUAAAAUUAUAUAAUCACAUUGUCCUAAAAUUCCUUUAUGACAUUGCCACUGAAAAUAAUACAAGAAGGAUGCUUAAACAGGGAAAUGACAUUUAAUUGUGUAAUCUCAGAGACCUUAAGUGUACUUGAAUUUCAAUCUAAAUUCAUUCCUCAGAAAAGAUCUCUGCAGCUAUGUAUGAAUCAUAAAUGCACACAACUGUACAAUAAAUCUAGGUUAGAAAUCAAACAUGUGCAUGGAACUGACUGCAUGUUUUCCACUCUGAACAUUAGUUAACUAAUUUAUAUCAGUAAUUUUUGCAACAGAUUAAAUGACCUUAAAAGGCAAGAGAAAAGAAAACUGUGUGAUAGUUAAUGUGCAUGGGGAGUUAUAGUUAAUGGGGAAAUCCGAGUUCUCAGGAUUUUCAAUAUGCCAACAGACCAAAGCAGGAGUUUUUUGGAUUCCACAAGGGAAAGUCUUUAGAAGCCAGCCAUAUUGUCUGUCCCAGGUGAAUUGUGGGGUUCCAGGGCUCAUUGCCAGAUCCAGUGACAUAUGAACAGAACACAGUUUUGAUUUUUUGAUUUUAAAUAAAUUAUUAAUAUAAAAAUAAGUUGAAGUAUUUCACUUCUGCAACAUUUCAUGUAUGCAUUUAAACUCCUGAGCGGUUAUAGACUUGGAGGAAACCACUGGCUGCCCACUGUCAUGACCAGGAACAUGGUGAGAUUCUAAACUCUUUAAACUCCAAGAAGUAAACCAUUUUUUUUGUAUUUUAAAGAUUGUAAUUUUUGUUUUUUUGGCUUUUUUUGGACAGUGGCAGUAAAAACACAGUGGAGUGAGAUGGGAUGAUUUGCAGCAAAGGGCCUAAGCUGGAACUGAAGCUUGACUGCCUGAAGAACAGUAUGUGGUACGCGUUCUACCAGUUGUUCUUGAAAUGGACCUCAUCAAUCUCUUUCCUGUUCUACAAAUCCCCCCUUUUGAUCAGACGCUGGUCUUGUCCAGGAUAAAUAUUGAGAGGAUCAGAUCAGCCCACACUGGACAACAUGCAAUUCCUCAAGCUGAACUAGUGACCGUAAAGGCUGUAGCUUCCAGUUUCUCGAACAUCAUGUCACCAUUGUCCCAUGUCUUCACACAAGUCUGGACUCAGUGACUUAUUCCUCUUGUUCAACCAGGGCAAGUAAGCCCUGAUACAUAAUGUUUGUUUAUUUCACCAUGGAUUAUCCAUCAUAUGGACAUGUGCUGUUUUUUCAAGAUUUCAUUACUAAUUUGGGAGUAUUGGACAAGGUAUUUGAUCAAUUCAAAAUGUUUUUAAUUUUAAUUUUAAUACUUUUGUGCCUUGGUUUACAAUGGACCUUAUUCACUUAGUAAUUAAUCAUAAAAAGUUGUUGACAGUAAA